UGCAUGUCUAAGUAUAAGCAAUUAUACAGCGAAACUGCGAAUGGCUCAUUAAAUCAGUUAUCGUUUAUUUGAUAGUACCUUACUACAUGGAUAACCGUGGUAAUUCUAGAGCUAAUACAUGCUGAAAACCCCGACUUCGGAAGGGGUGUAUUUAUUAGAUUAAAAGCCAAUGCCCUCCGGGGCUCACUGGUGAUUCAUGAUAACUUCUCGAAUCGCACGGCCUUGCGCCGGCGAUGGUUCAUUCAAAUUUCUGCCCUAUCAACUUUCGACGGCUGGGUCUUGGCCAGCCGUGGUGACAACGGGUAACGGAGGGUUAGGGCUCGACCCCGGAGAAAACGCCUGAGAAACGGCGUUUACAUCCAAGGAAGGCAGCAGGCGCGCAAAUUACCCAAUGCCGACACGGCGAGGUAGUGACGAGAAAUACUGAUACAGGGCUCUUUUGGGUCUUGUAAUUGGAAUGAGUACAAUUUAAAUCUCUUAACGAGGAACAAUUGGAGGGCAAGUCUGGUGCCAGCAGCCGCGGUAAUUCCAGCUCCAAUAGCGUAUAUUAAAGUUGUUGCAGUUAAAAAGCUCGUAGUUGAACCUUGGGCCUGGCUGGCCGGUCCGCCUCACCGCGUGCACUGGUCCGGCCGGGCCUUUCCCUCUGGGGAGCCCUAUGCCCUUCACUGGGCGUGGCGGGGAACCAGGACUUUUACUGUGAAAAAAUUAGAGUGUUCAAAGCAGGCCUAUGCUCGAAUACAUUAGCAUGGAAUAAUAGAAUAGGACGUGUGGUUCUAUUUUGUUGGUUUCUAGGACCGCCGUAAUGAUUAAUAGGGACAGUCGGGGGCGUCAGUAUUCAAUUGUCAGAGGUGAAAUUCUUGGAUUUAUUGAAGACUAACUACUGCGAAGGCAUUCGCCAAGGAUGUUUUCAUUAAUCAGGAGCGAAAGUUAGGGGAUCGAAGACGAUCAGAUACCGUUGUAGUCUUAACCAUAAACUAUGCCGACUAGGGAUCGGGCGGUGUUAUUUUUUGACCCGCUCGGCACCUUACACGAAAGUACAAGUUUCUGGGUUCU
This 1053-nucleotide ribosomal RNA is filed under the name Buergenerula spartinae. RNAcentral describes it as "SSU rRNA". It matches the Rfam family "Eukaryotic small subunit ribosomal RNA", at positions 52 to 1115 of the family's 1831-position model. Lineage: Eukaryota; Fungi; Ascomycota; Sordariomycetes; Magnaporthales; Magnaporthaceae. The record is from RNAcentral.